AGUCAGAAGCGGGGAUCGCUCCCUUCACCGAAUCGAAAGCGAAUCGGCCGUUCGUAUUUGCAGUUAUUUCUGUGAGGUCUCAAAGCUGCUGUACUUCACAGGGCUCAGCAGCACUGGGGGGGGCCGAGACCGAACUGCAGCUCCGAGCACGUGGUUUUUAAAGGAGUCUGACGCGUUUGAUUGUUGUCUGGGAGUUAGGAAUGGAAAUAGAAAGUUGGAAGGAGAGUACAGAACGCGAGCUUGUAAAACUUGAACGUUAGUCAUAAGGGAAAGCAGCACAGGCAGCCAACACCUGCUGCUGAUGGGAUAAGCGGCAGCGGGAAACGCUCAGCCUGGGGCAGCACCUAUUGCCGACUGCACACCGCUGCACGUCCCCGUGCCGUGGCAGCGCCCCGCGCGCCGACUCACCAUCUGCCGGAUCGUGGCCGCCAGGUGCUUUGUGCUGUAGCACAGAGACUCGACGUUCUGCUUUUCGCUAUCGAAAGUCUCUUGAAUGAAUUCCAGCAUGAAACUGGACGCCCUUGGUUCAGCCGCUGCACACGUCCACGUUAUACGCCGUCACACGCGCACCCCUCUGUGAACCACACCUGGGCACAUCCCAUUGCUCCGGUGUUUCCAGCACACAGCGGUGGAGGAAGGUCAGCACCCAGGGCUCCCCGGGGCAGCAGGCACGGGAAAUGCCACGCAGUUAUUUACCCGCUAUCUGCAGCCUUAUCUCCUUCGCCACACAGGGAGGGGUGCUGGGAAUUUUGGCCUUUCGCUGAGGGAUUCUUUGCCCAGAACCAGUGUGCCCAUUCAGCUCAGGCACAGGCUGACAUGGGCUUUGGGGAGCUGCCCGGGGCGUGCUGCUGGUCGGCUUUUGGAGUGUCACCCUGUGAUUUCGCCUAAUAGAGAAGAACAGAGAAAGAGCUGAUCCUGGUUCUGGAAUGGGGAGGGCACGGGGCGCAGGGCGACGUUGGCACAAGAGUUGAGAGCUGUGGUACGAACCACAAGAAUGAAGCACACAGCCAGCAGCGUGUUUGGCCAACACCAAAUCAGCGAGUCCAGCUGCAAGGUGCCAAAGGGCAGGACCAGCCCAGUGAGUUCUGGAUGGCUCGUGUUCUUCCUGCACACAGCCCAACUUCUCCAGUCUUGUCAGUGUGUUUGGUUAAAUCUUCAGAGUGAAAUGAAAUAAAAUUUCAGUUGUUGUUUCUCACCCCAAAGCUCCCAGGCCUUCUGCCAUUGCUGUCCCUUACUCUGUUUUUGGUUUGUUUGCUCUUUCUGUCUGGGUGUGUACGUGACUUCAGAAGUGCUGAGUAUCCUUGUGUGCUCCCAUGGCAGAUGCUCAUGAAUGCCUUACGUAGCAUUCAAGAGAAGGAGGAAGGAACCUGAGUUCACACUUCUGCUACUACUGCAUUUAUUUUCUUUGGGAAAAUCUCUCUCUCUCCCUCCUCUCUCUCUCCAUUUUUCCCCCCCUUUUCUCUCUGGUACUGCAUUUGAAAUAAAUAAUUUGCACUGAUCUAUCUAUAGGAAUGUUUCAAGUUGGUGAUGGACUUAAAUCCAUCCAAGACUUAAUUAUCCCGCUCUAUACUGCUCUGAGCUAAGCUGCUUCAUCACCUUCUUCAGAAAGCAGUAAGACCCAAACAAGCAGUGCUGGGUCGUGAGUUAACUGUGCAUCAGGACAUGGGACGGUUGGGACUUUAACGUGUAUGAGCACUAGUACUGAGACUGUAAGAUAUAAUUUCUAGAUACAGGUAUAUCUUACAGUUUACUGUUCUUCUACCCUUCUAUUGUUACUGUUCUUCAUUUCACUCUGUGGGUUAGUCCUCUCUUAUUAUUUAUAUUACAAAACAAGUGUCUGCCUCUCACUGUGAAAACUUUUCUCAGGUGGAAUCUCAGAUAUUGUCAGUGUUCAUCCAACUCUUUCUUUUGUUGGGGCAACGGGCAUUACUACUGAAAAGCUCUAUGGCAGCAGAGAGGCCAAUUAUGAAUGCUGUAAGAAACCUCUCCUCUCAGACUCUCUGCGCAUGAAAACUACUCCUAGCUGCAGUCAGGGAUGAAUUCAUAGCCAGAGAGCCAAUCCAGGGUAAUGCCAUCUGUUGAAUGCUUAGAUUCCAGCAUCAAUAUUUUUGAUAUUGCGCCAGGGAAGAUUCAAGCUGGACGUUAGGAAAUACUACUUCUCUGAAAGGGUGGUCAGGCACUGGAAUGGGCUGCCCAGAGAGGUGGUGGAGUCACCGA
This is a long non-coding RNA of Gallus gallus (chicken), 2217 nucleotides long. RefSeq lists it as uncharacterized. Lineage: Eukaryota; Metazoa; Chordata; Aves; Galliformes; Phasianidae. The record is from RefSeq and is a predicted model, not a curated record. The transcript is spliced from 4 exons.